This 255-nucleotide ribosomal RNA is filed under the name uncultured bacterium. Its description in RNAcentral is "partial 16S ribosomal RNA". It matches the Rfam family "Bacterial small subunit ribosomal RNA", at positions 524 to 778 of the family's 1533-position model. The record is from RNAcentral.
UACGUAGGAUGCAAGCGUUGUCCGGAUUUAUUGGGCGUAAAGAGUUCGUAGGUGGUUCGUUAAGUCUGGUGUUAAAGACCGGGGCCCAACCUCGGGAUCGCAUUGGAUACUGGCGGACUGGAGUGCAGUAGAGGCAAGCGGAAUUCCCAGUGUAGCGGUGAAAUGCGUAGAUAUCUGGAGGAACACCGGUGGCGAAGGCGGCAUCCUGGACCGAUACUGACGCUGAGGAGCGAAAGCCAGGGGAGCCAAAGCGGG